UAAGAACCAACCAUCUGUAUUCUAUUAUCACCACAAAAAUGCAGUGAAAGGCUUAUUUAGAAUACAGAUAUUUCUACACUUGAACUGUAUAAAUAAGAGCACUAUUUUACUUAUAGUCGGUUAUUUGUUCAAUCAUCUACAACAAACCGCAUAGAAUGGAAUGUUUAGUAUAUAUACAAGCUUCAUUUCAAGGAUGUUAGUGAAAGAAGAAGAAGAGAAAGGCUUGGAGAGGCAUAUGAUAGGAGACAUUGCUGCGACACUGCUGUUGAUCACUUAACUUUUUUAAAAUUAGAUAUGGAUGGGUUUGGUCGAAGUAUAAAAGCUGGGAGGACUCAUUCGACUGAAUAUACUUAUCUUUAUAAGUGCAUAUUAUACAUUGUUUGUAUAGACAACUUAGAAAAGGGAGCUCUUUUGUUUGUGAUAAUAUUGUACAAAAGCUAUAACUUAUAUGGCAUGGAGGAUCACUGGAUUACUAAGACAAAUAAUAAUACAAUGGGGUUAGAGUCUGGAGAUCCACCAGAAACCGAUGGCCUAAAUUAUGGGGAAGUUCCAAGAUUGUUCUAGGAAAUGGAAGGAAAACUUCCUUUUGACAUAAUGUGUGAGUGGGUCGACAGACUUUGAAGCAAUAAUUCCCCACUAUCUACAAUACAGAAAUGAGCUAUGGUUUUUUAUGUUAGUGAUAUACAUGGCCGGAAUCUAACCUUCAGAAGAUUGUUCCAUGAAUAGAAAGUUGAUAACUUCACAGAAUUCUACAACACCAUUGAACAACUUUAACAAUCUAAAUGCUAAAGAAGAUGCCUUAUUGUGGAAAGAGAUAAAGAAGGGGACCUUCACCAUGAAGUCAGCUUAUACACUUUUGGACAGUCCUACAAAUACUCUUAGGUUGGAAAAGGAUUUGGUGAGUUAAAAUACCUUUCAAAGUGUUUGUUUCAUUUGGUUAGUUCCCGGGCAAGCUAUUUUAACAAAGCCUGGGAGGUUCGAAUGCUACUCUAUUUUUUGGGCUGCCCUAUUUGUACUCUAAACAUCGACCCUUCUAGCGCCAUAUAACCUGCUAUUGCCUGGCCAUUCCGACUUAAUAACUAUUGUGUUUGUCUUCGUUGAAUAAAGAUUUGUUCUAUUAUCACAUUUUCAACUUCUGACCUAAUUUAAUCUUUAAAUCUUAUUUAACAGGUGUUUGAUAGAGAAUGCCUAAAUGAUUGAUCACAACAACAAAAAUGCAUCUCCUAUUGUAGAAUCUAUAAAUAUUAUCUGUAUCAAUGUAAAUAGACUACAUUCACUAACAUAUGUGAAUGUGACCAUCCAAUAGUAUGUUAUUUCCACGACUGCAUAAAACGUACAUUUGAAAUCGUUUUAAUCAACUGAUCCAAUCAAAUGGGAUAGUCCCUUACUGUUACAUCUUU
This is a long non-coding RNA of Capsicum annuum, 1400 nucleotides long. RefSeq lists it as uncharacterized. The transcript has 3 exons. NCBI's taxonomy places the organism in Eukaryota, Viridiplantae, Streptophyta, Magnoliopsida, Solanales, Solanaceae. The record is from RefSeq and is a predicted model, not a curated record.